UCAAAGAAAGUGACACACUGAUGCAUACAAAAUCAUCCACAAUCUCCUAAUUAAGUCUUGUAACUAGAGAUGAGAGGUGGCUGUGUAUAGGAAUGAUCAACAAGCACCACCAAUUUAAUUGAGUCAUAUGCAUGUCAUAUAAAUAUAAAUAGUCAUAAAUUUUCUUUUUUACUUUGGGCGGGACCAGCCUUCAUACUGAUAAUAGAAAACUAUAUAUAUAACUGCAUACCGCAUCUGCACCAGCUUUGGAAGCACUUUCUGAAG
RNAcentral lists this unclassified non-coding RNA (264 nucleotides) under Hevea brasiliensis (rubber tree). Lineage: Eukaryota; Viridiplantae; Streptophyta; Magnoliopsida; Malpighiales; Euphorbiaceae. The record is from RNAcentral.